UACAGAGGUCUCAAGCGUUGUUCGGAUUCAUUGGGCGUAAAGGGUGCGUAGGGGGCGCGGAAAGUCGGGUGUGAAAUCUCGGAGCUUAACUCCGAAAUUGCAUUCGAUACUGCCGUGCUUGAGGACUGGAGAGGAGACUGGAAUUCAUGGUGUAGCAGUGAAAUGCGUAGAGAUCGGGAGGAACAUCCGUGGCGAAGGCGACUACCUGGACCAGCACUGACACUGAGGCACGAAAGCGUGGGGAGCAAACAGG
This 253-nucleotide ribosomal RNA is filed under the name uncultured bacterium. RNAcentral's name for it is "partial 16S ribosomal RNA". It matches the Rfam family "Bacterial small subunit ribosomal RNA", at positions 524 to 776 of the family's 1533-position model. The record is from RNAcentral.